GCCAGGCACAAUGGCACCUGCCUGUAGUCCCAGCUACUCCCGAGGCUGAAGUGGGAGGAUCACUUGAGCCCAGGAGUUCUGGGCUGUAGUGCACUACGCUGAUUGGGUGUCCGCACUAAGUUCGGCAUCAAUAUGGUAAACUCCCAGGAGCAGCGGACCACCAGGUUGUCUAAGGAGUAGUGAACAGCCCAGGUCAGAAACGGAGCAGAUCAAAACUCUCAUGCUGAUCAGUAGUGGGAUCGGGCCUGUGAAUAGCCUCUGCACUCCAGCCUGGGCAACAUAGCGAGACCCUGUCUCU
RNAcentral lists this signal recognition particle RNA (298 nucleotides) under Aotus nancymaae (Ma's night monkey). Its description in RNAcentral is "Metazoan signal recognition particle RNA (ENSANAG00000002264.1)". It matches the Rfam family "Metazoan signal recognition particle RNA". Rfam says of the family: The signal recognition particle (SRP) is a universally conserved ribonucleoprotein. It is involved in the co-translational targeting of proteins to membranes. Lineage: Eukaryota; Metazoa; Chordata; Mammalia; Primates; Aotidae. The record is from RNAcentral.